GACGAACGCUGGCGGCGUGCUUAACACAUGCAAGUCGAACGGAAGGGCCCUGCUUUUGUGGGGUGCUCGAGUGGCGAACGGGUGAGUAACACGUGAGUAACCUGCCCUUGACUUUGGGAUAACUUCAGGAAACUGGGGCUAAUACCGGAUAGGAGCUCCUGCUGCAUGGUGGGGGUUGGAAAGUUUCGGCGGUUGGGGAUGGACUCGCGGCUUAUCAGCUUGUUGGUGGGGUAGUGGCUUACCAAGGCUUUGACGGGUAGCCGGCCUGAGAGGGUGACCGGCCACAUUGGGACUGAGAUACGGCCCUGACUCCUACGGGAGGCAGCAGUGGGGAAUAUUGCACAAUGGGCGGAAGCCUGAUGCAGCAACGCCGCGUGCGGGAUGACGGCCUUCGGGUUGUAAACCGCUUUCGCCUGUGACGAAGCGUGGGUGACGGUAAUGGGUAAAGAAGCACCGGCUAACUACGUG
This 468-nucleotide ribosomal RNA is filed under the name uncultured bacterium. RNAcentral's name for it is "partial 16S ribosomal RNA". It matches the Rfam family "Bacterial small subunit ribosomal RNA", at positions 28 to 507 of the family's 1533-position model. The record is from RNAcentral.